Armigeres subalbatus is the source of this 850-nucleotide long non-coding RNA. RefSeq lists it as uncharacterized. The transcript has 4 exons. The record is from RefSeq and is a predicted model, not a curated record. Lineage: Eukaryota; Metazoa; Arthropoda; Insecta; Diptera; Culicidae.
CUAACGGUUGCCUAAUGUAUGGCGGAUCAUAGAGUAGGCUUUAUUGUGCAGAAUAGUGUAGAAGUGAAAAACUUUCCUCACAAAUGGUGAGGGGCAUGGCUAUUUCGUUAUUCAUUUGGGAUAACACCAAGAAUAUUUGGCAGUGAGAUCCGCGUGUACAACUACACUCUCGAGCAUGAUUUGACGGAAAACCUGUUCUUCAACGACCAGCUGACCAACGGGCCGAGGAACAAAGUUAAUGGACCGUCGAAGCACCGGACAGGUCAAUCCUGCUAGUCAGGACAUCUUUUCAAAGGAAGGGGACAACGCCAAUCCACAAAAGCAUGACCUGUUGCCACUUCUAAUGAUGAUACAUUAAAUCCAUGGAUCCAUAGAUUCAACUCGUACCUGGAUGGAGCGCAACGCCUGGGGCUGACCACAAUAUGACUGUGAAGUCUACUAAAACAUGCCUUGCUUCCCGCGCUGUAUCCGCAUGAACGGUUGUGAUUUACUAUCGGUUUGGAUCCGAGGAAGUUGCGGUAUCAUCGGUCAAGGGAUUUACGUGCAUAUAGAUGUGGAUCGGAUUGUGAAGCAGGUUUUACGCAAAGCUGGAUGAUAACGGAUCAGUAAAAAAAAUAUUUACCAAAUUGUCUAACUAGUUGCAGCUGCUGUAUCUUUACAAUAUUGAGAUGUCCAAACGUUUUGUCUUGCAGUGACUUUAGACUGUGUUACAGCUACAUUUACAAGUCACUAUAAUUUAAAUACCAUAAGAUUUAAACUAUUUAACAGUUGUUAAAUUCAUCAGAAGCACAAUUUAUGUUAUUUAAUAUCACGCAAUACAUCAAUCUUCUCUUUGACAACGUUAUGCCAA